Molecule: long non-coding RNA, 293 nt
Organism: Physella acuta
Lineage: Eukaryota; Metazoa; Mollusca; Gastropoda; Physidae
Source: RefSeq, a predicted model, not a curated record
UCUUCAAGUUAGAGCCAUCUUUUCCACCAGUCUUCAGCUCUCGUGGAGUCCUAUACCAGGGGAGCUAACAACAUGCAAUGUGACCUCCUACAUAGUACAGUACAGAGUAGAGGGUAGCACAGUUUGGUCAGAGGUUCUCUCCCCUUCAUCUGAUCUCAACUUUACUAUACAGUCCCUCCAACCUUAGACCAGCUAUGAAUGUCAGGUCGCAGCCUUCACCUCCACAGUCACACCUGGGGUAGGGCUCUACACCCUACCUGUGCCAGCUAGGACCCUAGUAAGCUAAGGGAAGU